This is a small nuclear RNA of Sorex fumeus (smoky shrew), 108 nucleotides long. NCBI's taxonomy places the organism in Eukaryota, Metazoa, Chordata, Mammalia, Eulipotyphla, Soricidae. The record is from RefSeq and is a predicted model, not a curated record.
GUGCUCGCUUUGGCAGCACAUAUACUAAAAUUGGGAAUGAUACAGAGAAGAUUAGCAUGGCCCCUGUGCAAAGAUGACAUGCAAAUUCAUGAAGCGUUCCAUAUUUUU